Bombyx mori (domestic silkworm) is the source of this 346-nucleotide long non-coding RNA. RefSeq lists it as uncharacterized. The transcript has 2 exons. Lineage: Eukaryota; Metazoa; Arthropoda; Insecta; Lepidoptera; Bombycidae. The record is from RefSeq and is a predicted model, not a curated record.
UGAUAUUAAACAGACACCAGAGCUCUUAGUUAUUAAAACAUGAUUACGUUACCCACUUUGAGACAUGAUGUCAAAGACACAAUUGGAUUCGCAUUCUUCAAAGCGAAACGGUUACGGGCGUUGGGCCGUGUAGGGCCCAUUUUAGGGGAAGCUGCAAGGAUUGAUAGCAUGCGUAAAAAAUGAUAUUAAUUAUUUGAGUAUACUCUGCACGUUUAAAAAAAUCAUCCAAAACCUCUUGCUCUUUUUUGCCUCUCUUCUGCUGCUGCUGACAACAUCAGAAGAUCUCCCAUUUUUGGCGUUUUGAUAAAACAGUUGGCAUUUUAAAUAAAUUAAAACCCUCAUUUAA